Acipenser ruthenus (sterlet) is the source of this 4688-nucleotide long non-coding RNA. RefSeq lists it as uncharacterized. The transcript has 5 exons. The record is from RefSeq and is a predicted model, not a curated record. Lineage: Eukaryota; Metazoa; Chordata; Actinopteri; Acipenseriformes; Acipenseridae.
CCACAGCACUGUAAAGAACAAAACAUUUUCAGGCAGCGUUUCUAUGCACAAUACUUUAUGUCUUCAUGUAGGCAGGUUAUCCUAUAAUUAGUGUUCCGCGUUUCCGGUUAUUAACAACGUCGGUUUUUUUAUGAUUUUUGUCUAUUAUUCAAUAUUUUCCCGGUUCUGUUUUCUAGCAAAUACACAAUAUUUUGAUUAAAUGCCGUUUUAUUUUAACUUAAUAACGGAAAACUGACCUGAAGCAGCACCCAGCAACCGAUGGACAUAAGAAAAAACACACAGAUCAAAGAUUAUCCUCCAUACCGGAAAAGCUACUGCUACAACAAAAACCGAAGCUGUUCCCUUUUUGUUAUGGGCACUUGCUAAGGACUGGUUCGGCACAGGAAUGAAACAACACAUAAGUUCAAUCAAGAUGUAAAUCGCAACAGGAUGCAUUGGUCCUACUGUAGGCUAUCUGUCCACAACAACUCAGGCCUCCACCAGGGGAAACAUAGCCAUGGCAACAGGUGUGGCUACUGGGGUCAAAGGUCUUGUUGCCACAGCACUGAGCAUCGGGAGAUCCAGAGAUCUGGUGUGCAACUGAGGCGAGAGACUGCAGGCAGAAGAAGGGAAAUUUGAACUGCUUGCGGCAAACUGUAACAUCGACGGAUACAUACUGGCAGCAUCAAGUCCCGUCAAAGUUCUAACGUCUAUACACCUGCCCUGCAACUCUUUUUUUUCAAGAAAUGUAAGGGGGAAGUGCAAGAAUGACCCAGAUGUCAUGGUAUGAACUGUAGUUGCUGAUAUAAAUCAAAUAAUUGAUUUUGAUGAAGUAUAUUUGAGCUGUUUGGAUCACUGUCUUAAGUGCCGAUUUAACCCGUUUAGGUACGCAAGGAAUCGAGCUGUUCAGUUGGUUUCCUCUUAAAAUACAUUUGAGAGUGACUCGAGGAGGAAACUGGCAAUUUGAUCCAACCUGUCAGUACGCUCUAAACCCUGUUUCAUGUACCUCCUCACUGCAAAAAUAAAAAAGGCAGCGUCAUUUCAUUUGUGGGACACAUAUUUCCCUUUUCUUUUAAAGAGUUUGGAGUUGCGAUGCACCAGGGUUCGGUUUCGGAUUUGGCCCGAAAACCUACUUUUUGAGCAGGAUUCGGAAUCCGAAUCUUAUAUCUUCCCAGACGCACAUCCAUUUUAAUACAUCCCGCCAAUGUGUGCAGUUCUUCUUUAAAUAAAAGACACGACUCCGGCAUUGAACAUAACUUAAUUUAAUUUAAUAACACGAACACGUUUGAUGAACUCUGUCGCAGAUUUCGACUCCAUAAAUUACUGGUGGCACACGCACUAAACAAGUCAAGUUUUGCAGUAAACUUGUAAUAUAUAGUAACGGCAAACUGUUGUAGACUUUUGUGCUUUGUCUGUCAAACGUGUUCUAGAGAUCUUACUGAGAUUAAUAAUAAUAAUAAUAAUAAUAAUAAUAAUAAUAAUAAUAAUAAUAAUAAUAGGUGCACAGAAAUAUAUAUUUUUUGUAACUUUACAACUGUCAGAUGUGCAAGACGUUGCAAUAUGCUUUAGUAAAUUAAAUUACGUUAUUGUGCAUUUAAAUCAACGUGGGUUUCAUUUCGCAGUGAGAUUCAGGUCACUCAUCACGGUAAUUUUUUUCCUCGUAGCUCUCAGAUUGGGUUGUCAACAGGCUCCAGAAUCUCGGGACACUGCAAUGUAUUCGACAUGUAAAGUGAGCGUGAAUUGCUUGAGCUGUUUAGUAAAUAUAUGUAAUUGUUUAAUUGUGGUGGCGAUUCUAUCCAGAGAGCCUUGUAACAACGAUUAAUCGUAUUGCUUGAAUUUAUACAGUAAAUAACAUCUAUCAAACUUGCGCAACACCAUUAUUAUAGAUAGCUUUGCACUCACCUGCACUCUCAUUUAACCUUGUGGCAGCAGGUAAAGUUUCUAUUUGUUUAAUAUGUCUUGCUUCACACAGUCCCGCCCAGUCAGAGACCCAGAAAGCCAAUCAGCUGCUGUAUAGGUCUGAUUGAUGGAAACGAUCCUCGCAGGCAGGUGUGUGCUUUUGGUAACAACUAAGUAAAACAACUCAAUUAAUUUAGCGACAGUUCGCACAAUUCACACUCACUUUACUGAAUACACUGCAGUUCAGAGAGGUUACAAAACCUGACCUGUCUUAAAGUGUCCCGAGAUUCUGGAGCCUGUUGGCAACCCUACUCUCAGAUCAGGUGACACAGGUUGAAACAUCAUUAAACAAAAUAGAGGGUUAUGGCAGCUCUCCUUUCUUGUAAAGGUAAAGUAAACGGUUCUGUAUUUUGACGUUUCUAUUGUUGGGGGGCUAGCGGUAAAUUGUGUAAGUUUCAAACUGAAAUCUUAUUCAGGGAUAGAUUUCCAUUCGGUAAUAAAAAUACUAUUAGCUAAAAGGCUCAAAACUAUAGAUUGUGCGCGUCCCUUGUAAGUAGCUGUCAGUCUGUUUUUCAUUCAAGUUUCCUUCAGUUCUUUCUUGACAGUUUUUGUAGAUUCGGUAUUCGGCCGAAUCUUUUGAGAUAGAUUUGGUAUUCUGCCGAAUCCCAAAAACUUGGAUUCGGUGCGUCCCUAUUAGGAGCUACAAGCGACUGCCCAGUCCUUGACCACAUUCCGGCGCCUCCUUAAGACUCACCUCUUCAAACAGCACCUGUAGAACUCCUCUGUUUGUAUCCUGGGACACUAUCACCCUUCAUGUAAAUGUGCUUUAUUUUGCUCUUAUCUGCCCCCUAUUUUACUGCAUUUAAUCCUGUACUUCAGAAUACUGUAAUCUGCCAAGUACUUAACCUGUAGUACUUUGUAUUUAAUCAUAUCCUGAUGUAACUAUCACUAUUUAAUCAUAUCCUGAUGUAACUAUCACUAUUAUCUGCUGUAUUAUUGAAUUGUGGUUUGUCACACUUGUACUUUGCUUGAACAAAUGUUAUUGUAUUUCUUGCUCUUAUUGUAUUACUUGUAUUGUAACACUUGAAAUGUGUUUGCUUACGAUUGUAAGUCGCCCUGGAUAAGGGUGUCUGCUAAGAAAUAAAUAAUAAUAAUAAUAAUAAUAAUACAAGGUUCUCUGGUAAUUGUUAGAAGUCCUACACGCAAAUUAUGAAAUGUGUUUGCCAAGCUGUAGUUUGUUUGAUUUGAGAAAUAAUUAAUGGAAUGGGGCAACUGGAAAGCUUAACAGUGUUACCAGCUCUCUCAAUCACAAUUUCCCAAACCCUCAUUCAAAACAUGUUCAGCAGAAAAGAACAAUGGAAAAAGAGCCCUAAACACACUAAUUAGAAUGAGGAGGUGAGUUUAUACCUAGCACUCUCUCAGAGAGAGGGCAGUCAUAAUGUUGAUGUAAUGAUGAUGAUGAUGAUUAAUAUUUAUUACGCAUUAAUAAAAACAAUAAUGUGUAUUUUAUCCUCCUCCUUCCUCGUUACUAAUGUCCUAUUGUCAGUACUUGGGUGUGUUCUACACUCCAUAAAAACACCGCCUACAAAUGUUUGAGAUCAACAUAAGAACGGCCUUUUCAGUAGCAGAGAAGGAGAGCUGAGAGGCAGGCAGGAGGCAUUCUUGCUGGGAGGGGGUUUAAGCAGCAAGUGCGCGCAUUUGUAGAUUUCACAUGGUCAAGUUAUUUUUGUAAAUCAGUAACUGCCGUUAUGGAAUUUCUUCGGAUUCCCUCUGAUUUUUCUAACAGCUUUCUGGAUUGAAGCUUUAUGUUUUAUUUUGGAUAGUAAUGGUUCUAAGAUUUACCUCUGAAUCCUGAUAAGUAUAUCCACUGUUUUCUAGUUUUUGCCUAAUACAUUUGCUCCUUGCUUAUGCCCUUUCUUUGAAGGUAUUUGUUUUUACAGUGUAAACUGAUCUUGGUUUUGGUACUGAGAGUUAUUUGAAGUAAACACUGGUCUAGCAAUUGUAGUCAUUCAGAACUAAUUAAAGAUUAUUACAUUUUUAUUGGUUUCCAUACCAAUUAGGAAUAUUAAGUAUAAAAUGUAUAUAUUUGAGUUGAAUAUUAAAAAAGAGGGGGAUUUCUUCAUGCAUGUGUUCAUGUUUCUUUUAUUUGGAUUUAGUUAUAUGUGUUCCUUUAUUUGAUUUUUAGGUAAUCAUUAAUGCAUAUUAAGUUACAAUCUCAUGCCUGAAGGUCACACAAAAGGAACGGCAAUGCUUGGAAAACUGAAGAAAAUGUGUAGUGUAUUUUGCGAAAGUUUUUUUUUUAUAUAAUAAAUGAUUUGCCAGGUGAUGUUUGAAUGUGCUUCUAUUCCCUUAAAUACAUUGCACCUUUAAAUUGUUUUUUUUAAAUGCGCUGCCUCUGAGUUAGUGUCUACAGCAGCUCGCUUCAUUCAAAUAUUGCCGAUUGCAAUAAAACUGUCAACUGAAAAGAUCCACCUCGUUAAAUCCCAGCUAACGUGCUGGUUACUGGCAUGCACCUGACACUGUGGUUCCGAGAUUAUCUUGGAGCUCCACGUAUCACCUCACCACAGUGCAAAUCAGCCAAGUAAAAGUGUUUUUUUCUUUUACUGUUUGAAUAAUACAUAUUAUGAAAAAGGGAUUUUUAAAGGCUGUGUUAUAUACAUAAAGAUAUGUGGUGCUAUAGUGCAUGCUUUAUAAUGGUUAUAACUUUACAGCUACGGCCAAAAGUUUUGCAUCCCCGGGGGAGGGGGCGCUCCUGAGUGGCGCAUCUAGUAAAAGCUUUCUUGUGUUCCUACAUUUAUACAGCGUUUUUG